GCCCCCAUAGCCCAAUUGGCAGAGGCAACCGGCUUAAAACCGGUACCGGUCUGGGUUCGAGUCCCAGUGGGGGCACCG
RNAcentral lists this transfer RNA (78 nucleotides) under Gordonia sp. (in: high G+C Gram-positive bacteria). RNAcentral's name for it is "Gordonia sp. tRNA-Leu". It matches the Rfam family "tRNA". Rfam says of the family: Transfer RNA (tRNA) molecules are approximately 80 nucleotides in length. Their secondary structure includes four short double-helical elements and three loops (D, anti-codon, and T loops). Lineage: Bacteria; Bacillati; Actinomycetota; Actinomycetes; Mycobacteriales; Gordoniaceae. The record is from RNAcentral.